RNAcentral lists this ribosomal RNA (433 nucleotides) under uncultured bacterium. RNAcentral's name for it is "partial 16S ribosomal RNA". It matches the Rfam family "Bacterial small subunit ribosomal RNA", at positions 29 to 507 of the family's 1533-position model. The record is from RNAcentral.
AGCGAACGCUGGCGGCAGGCCUAACACGUGCAAGUCGAACGAACUCUUCGGAGUUAGUGGCGGACGGGUGAGUAACACGUGGGAACGUGCCUUUUGGUUCGGAAUAACUCAGGGAAACUUGUGCUAAUACCGAAUGUGCCCUUCGGGGGAAAGAUUUAUCGCCAUUAGAGCGGCCCGCGUCUGAUUAGCUAGUUGGUGAGGUAACGGCUCACCAAGGCGACGAUCAGUAGCUGGUCUGAGGGGAUGACCAGCCACACUGGGACUGAGACACGGCCCAGACUCCUACGGGAGGCAGCAGUGGGGAAUCUUGCGCAAUGGGCGAAAGCCUGACGCAGCCAUGCCGCGUGAAUGAUGAAGGUCUUAGGAUUGUAAAAUUCUUUCACCGGGGACGAUAAUGACGGUACCCGGAGAAGAAGCCCCGGCUAACUUCGUG